UAGGGAAUCUUCGGCAAUGGACGAAAGUCUGACCGAGCAACGCCGCGUGAGUGAAGAAGGUCUUCGGAUCGUAAAACUCUGUUGUUAGAGAAGAACAAGGACGUUAGUAACUGAACGUCCCCUGACGGUAUCUAACCAGAAAGCCACGGCUAACUACGUGCCAGCAGCCGCGGUAAUACGAAGGUGGCAAGCGUUGUCCGGAUUUAUUGGGCGUAAAGCGAGCGCAGGCGGUUUUUUAAGUCUGAUGUGAAAGCCCCCGGCUCAACCGGGGAGGGGCAUUGGAAACUGGGAGACUUGAGUGCAGAAGAGGAGAGUGGAAUUCCAAGUGUAGCGGUGAAAUGCGUAGAUAUUUGGAGGAACACCGGUGGCGAAGGCGGCUCUCUGGUCUGUAUCUGACGCUGAGGCUCGAAAGCGUGGGGAGCAAACAGG
Molecule: ribosomal RNA, 429 nt
Filed under: Gemmatimonadota bacterium
Lineage: Bacteria; Pseudomonadati; Gemmatimonadota
Description: Gemmatimonadetes bacterium partial 16S ribosomal RNA
Rfam family: Bacterial small subunit ribosomal RNA
Source: RNAcentral